This 515-nucleotide long non-coding RNA is filed under the name Nicotiana tabacum (common tobacco). RNAcentral's name for it is "long non-coding RNA (NTAB_LNC005292)". The record is from RNAcentral. Lineage: Eukaryota; Viridiplantae; Streptophyta; Magnoliopsida; Solanales; Solanaceae.
AAUUGUUGAAGCUUUUCUUAAGCCAUUGCCAAUUAGGCCAUCAAAAAAUAUUGCAACAAAUUCAAAACCAGUUGCUACUAAGUUUGUAGUGAAAGCUUCUUCACUUAAGGAAAAAGUAGUGACAGGGUUGACUGCAGGUGUACUUACAGCAUCAAUGGUUGUACCUGAUGUAGCACAAGCUGCUGAUGGUGUUUCACCUUCACUUAAGAAUUUCUUGCUUAGCAUUGUGGCAGGUGGGGCUGUGCUUACUGCAAUUAUUGGUGCUAUUAUUGGUGUUUCCAACUUUGAUCCUGUUAAGAGGAGUUAAUGUUGGUUAAAUUUGUGUUUUCUUGAUUGUAUCUAUAUGAUGUUUACUUAAUUCCAGAAUGAUUUGUGUAUGUUUACAUGACAACUAAUUCCAUAGUUCUUUUUCCGGCUUAUUUAUCUGACCGCAUUAGGCUCACUAAAGGGUGGCGCUCCCUAUCAAGAAAUUUUCUUAUUGAACGUAAAACCUAUAGUUAAGGGUUGGUGGAUCC